RNAcentral lists this ribosomal RNA (336 nucleotides) under uncultured Cytophaga sp. RNAcentral describes it as "bacterial SSU rRNA". It matches the Rfam family "Bacterial small subunit ribosomal RNA", at positions 57 to 385 of the family's 1533-position model. The record is from RNAcentral. Lineage: Bacteria; Pseudomonadati; Bacteroidota; Cytophagia; Cytophagales; Cytophagaceae.
GCAAGUCGAACGGUAACAGGAAUUAGCUUGCUAAUUUGCUGACGAGUGGCGCAACGGGUGCGUAACGCGUAUACAAUCUGCCUUUAAGCGGGGAAUAGCCCAUGGAAACGUGGAUUAAUACCCCAUAGUAUGUAGACUUCACCUGGAGACUACAUUAAACAUUUAUGGCUUAAAGAUGAGUAUGCGUCCUAUUAGUUAGUUGGUAAGGUAACGGCUCACCAAGACCGCGAUAGGUAGGGGUCCUGAGAGGGAGAUCCCCCACACUGGUACUGAGACACGGACCAGACUCCUACGGGAGGCAGCAGUGAGGAAUAUUGGACAAUGGAGGCAACUCUG